Molecule: ribosomal RNA, 427 nt
Filed under: uncultured Alphaproteobacteria bacterium
Lineage: Bacteria; Pseudomonadati; Pseudomonadota; Alphaproteobacteria
Description: bacterial SSU rRNA
Rfam family: Bacterial small subunit ribosomal RNA
Source: RNAcentral
UGCACACAGGUGCUGCAUGGCUGUCGUCAGCUCGUGUCGUGAGAUGUUGGGUUAAGUCCCGCAACGAGCGCAACCCACGUCCUUAGUUGCCAUCAUUCAGUUGGGCACUCUAGGGAGACUGCCGGUGAUAAGCCGCGAGGAAGGUGUGGAUGACGUCAAGUCCUCAUGGCCCUUACGGGAUGGGCUACACACGUGCUACAAUGGCGGUGACAGAGGGACGCGAAACCGCGAGGUUGAGCAAAUCCCCAAAAGCCGUCUCAGUUCGGAUUGCACUCUGCAACUCGGGUGCAUGAAGGCGGAAUCGCUAGUAAUCGUGGAUCAGCACGCCACGGUGAAUACGUUCCCGGGCCUUGUACACACCGCCCGUCACACCAUGGGAGUUGGUCUUACCCGACGGCGCUGCGCCAACCGCAAGGAGGCAGGCGAC